GAACACCUGGGGCCAGCUCCAGGCUUUGCCCCCGAAUUUGCCAUCCCAUUCUCUUUGUGAGGUCAUCUUACCUCUAGACUUGGAUGUCUCCUGGGUGAAGUUAGUCGUGCCAGCUCCUCCUAAGCUCCUGGGAAAGGCAAUACCCUCACCUCGCUUGGGUGAGCAGGCACCUAGGGGAGGGUGAAUUGCCUUGUGAUGACAGUGGGGAGCCAAGAGGCCUAGAGGACAUAAGUGGUCCAGACCUCAAAGGUGAAGGCCGGCAGCACUGUUAGCCCCCCCUGACAGGCAAAGCAGAAGGAAAACCAGCCCCCUAUGGUCUUGUCACAGUCAUCUGGGCAUCAUACCCUGUCCAGGUGGAGCAUCAUGGCCUUCAGCUGGGGAGGUGGCAAGCUCAGAUUCCUCGGCACCUCUUGGUCCUGCUCAAGCCAUGUGCUCAGAAAACAAAUGAGCACCAGAAGAAACGGAGCACAAACCAAUGCCUGAAAAACUGAUAGAGAUGAAGUGCUGCUGAGUGGAUAAUGGUGUUUGCCUCUGAGCUACUGGGAGCCAAAUUAUCACUUGACCCAAAGUACCUGAAAAGAUCAUGCCA
RNAcentral lists this long non-coding RNA (589 nucleotides) under Anser brachyrhynchus (Pink-footed goose). RNAcentral's name for it is "lncRNA (ENSABRG00000017057.1)". Lineage: Eukaryota; Metazoa; Chordata; Aves; Anseriformes; Anatidae. The record is from RNAcentral.